This is a long non-coding RNA of Hippocampus zosterae (dwarf seahorse), 601 nucleotides long. RefSeq lists it as uncharacterized. The transcript has 2 exons. NCBI's taxonomy places the organism in Eukaryota, Metazoa, Chordata, Actinopteri, Syngnathiformes, Syngnathidae. The record is from RefSeq and is a predicted model, not a curated record.
UUGCGGGGUGUGAUUGAUGGAUAAGCGUUUUCCUUGAUGUGAAAUAGGAGAGGCCAAGAGUGCGACUCACCUGUCCACCGUGGGGUGACACAGCGGUCGCUCGUCUUGAGGGAGGAGGUUCUCCAGUUUAAAUGUCUCCGGUGUCUCAAAGGCAAAGAUGGAGUCACUCUCUUGGAUCAUAUCCAGAUCAUCGUCGUCGUCGCAAAAGGAACGAUGGAAGCCGUCGUAAUACAUCUCGGUCAGAAUGAACUACAAGAAACAAGCAAGCAAGUAAGUAUGUGUACAAGUACCCAAGGAGGAUUCGAUUAGGCCGUCAAGAAGUAACCACCUGGUCCAUUGGCAUUUUGGUCUCGCGCGACACAGCAUCUCGGAGGCGGUACACGGUGCUGUUAAGGGGCACGGCCACCCCAAUCCGCAGACAGUGAGAGUAUUUCCCCUGGUAGACCACUGUGAUGUAUAGCGGCCUGGCAAACAAAAUACGUGAAUUUAUUUUUAAAGGUGGUUCUGUUCCAGACGCAUGAAGCCAAACCCAAAAUCUGAACGGACCAUGUCUAUCACUCAUGUCACGCAGUAAUAAAGUCAUAAUUACAGUUCGCCCAUG